This 468-nucleotide ribosomal RNA is filed under the name uncultured bacterium. Its description in RNAcentral is "partial 16S ribosomal RNA". It matches the Rfam family "Bacterial small subunit ribosomal RNA", at positions 28 to 507 of the family's 1533-position model. The record is from RNAcentral.
GACGAACGCUGGCGGCGUGCUUAACACAUGCAAGUCGAACGGAGAACCCCUUCGUUGGUGGUCUGCUGGAGAGGGGAGCGUAACAGUAGGACGACCUUAACCUGCCCUUGGGAUAAGUCCAACUAAUUGGGGCUAAGACUAGUACCUGAUCGGAUCUCCCGCUGCAGGGGGUGGGAAGGGAAGUUUCGGCGGCUGGGGAUGGACUCGCGGCAUAUCAGCUUGUUGGUGGGGUAGUGGCUUACCAAGGCUGUGACGGGUAGCCGGCCUGAGAGGGUGACCGGCCACACUGGGACUGAGACACGGCCCAGACUCCUACGGGAGGCAGCAGUGGGGAAUAUUGCGCAAUGGGCGGAAGCCUGAUGCAGCAACGCCGCGUGCGGGAUGACGGCCUUCGGGUUGUAAACCGCUUUCGGCAGGGACGAAGCGCGAGUGACGGUAACUGGUAAAGAAGCACCGGCUAACUACGUG